AAGUCGAGCGAAGUUUUUCUGGUGCUUGCACUAGAAAAACUUAGCGGCGAACGGGUGAGUAACACGUAAAGAACCUGCCUCAUAGACGGGGACAACUAUUGGAAACGAUAGCUAAUACCGGAUAACAGCAUAAAUCGCAUGAUAUAUGUUUAAAAGUUGGUUUCGGCUAACACUAUGAGAUGGCUUUGCGGUGCAUUAGCUAGUUGGUGGGGUAAAGGCCUACCAAGGCGACGAUGCAUAGCCGACCUGAGAGGGUGAUCGGCCACACUGGGACUGAGACACGGCCCAGACUCCUACGGGAGGCAGCAGUAGGGAAUCUUCCGCAAUGGGCGAAAGCCUGACGGAGCAACGCCGCGUGAGUGAAGAAGGAUUUCGGUUCGUAAAGCUCUGUUGUUAGGGAAGAAUGAUUGUAUAGUAACUAUAUACAGUAGAGACGGUACCUAACCAGAAAGCCACGGCUAACUACGUGCCAGCAGCCGCGGUAAUACGUAGGUGGCAAGCGUUGUCCGGAAUUAUUGGGCGUAAAGCGCGCGCAGGUGGUUUAAUAAGUCUGAUGUGAAAGCCCACGGCUCAACCGUGGAGGGUCAUUGGAAACUGUUAAACUUGAGUGCAGGAGAGAAAAGUGGAAUUCCUAGUGUAGCGGUGAAAUGCGUAGAGAUUAGGAGGAACACCAGUGGCGAAGGCGGCUUUUUGGCCUGUA
Molecule: ribosomal RNA, 700 nt
Filed under: uncultured Bacilli bacterium
Lineage: Bacteria; Bacillati; Bacillota; Bacilli
Description: bacterial SSU rRNA
Rfam family: Bacterial small subunit ribosomal RNA
Source: RNAcentral